CAGUCGCCACGGGAAUACGUAGGUGGCGAGCGUUGUCCGGAAUCAUUGGGCGUAAAGGGAGCGCAGGCGGGCAUGUAAGUCUUUCUUAAAAGUUCGGGGCUCAACCCCGUGAUGGGAAAGAAACUACAUGUCUUGAGUACAGGAGAGGAAAGCGGAAUUCCCAGUGUAGCGGUGAAAUGCGUAGAUAUUGGGGGGAACACCAGUGGCGAAGGCGGCUUUCUGGACUGCAACUGACGCUGAGGCUCGAAAGCCAGGGGAGCGAACGGGAUUAGAUACCCCUGUAGUCCCUGUCUCUUAUACC
This 301-nucleotide ribosomal RNA is filed under the name uncultured bacterium. Its description in RNAcentral is "partial 16S ribosomal RNA". It matches the Rfam family "Bacterial small subunit ribosomal RNA", at positions 509 to 808 of the family's 1533-position model. The record is from RNAcentral.